Molecule: ribosomal RNA, 273 nt
Filed under: Triticum aestivum (bread wheat)
Lineage: Eukaryota; Viridiplantae; Streptophyta; Magnoliopsida; Poales; Poaceae
Description: partial small subunit ribosomal RNA
Source: RNAcentral
AUGUAUGCCGGUUCCAACCCCACCUUGGAGAUGAGAAACUCGGACCUGCGCUGCAGCAUACCACCUAAAUGUCUUCUUCAAGAACUCCAAUUUGGCGGCAAUCUUCUUCUUGUCGGAAAAUGCGACAGCUUGAAGCGCUUGCCUAAACAUCCCAGAUCGACGGAGCACACCGAGACCUUUGGCGCACGCCACCAUGGCAUGAACUCGCUUCGGGCCACUACUGAGCAGCCAUGGCACGACGAGGCAUAGCUUGGCAAUAUCGCAAGCACCUAG